AGGAUUAACGCUGGCGGCGUGCCUAACACAUGCAAGUCGAACGAGGUAGCAAUACCUAGUGGCAGACGGGUGAGUAACGCGUGGUCAACCUACCGUUGAGUGGGGGAUAACUAGCCGAAAGGUUAGCUAAUACCGCAUACGUCUCCGAGUGGCAUCACUUGGCGAUAAAAGGAGCAAUCCGCUCGAUGACGGGACCGCGUCCCAUUAGCUAGAUGGUGGGGUAACGGCCUACCAUGGCACCGAUGGGUAGCUGGUUUGAGAGAGCGACCAGCCACACUGGGACUGAGAAACGGCCCAGACUCCUACGGGAGGCAGCAGUGAGGAAUUUUCCGCAAUGGGCGAAAGCCUGACGGAGCGACGCCGCGUGUGGGAAGAAGGCCUUGGGUCGUAAACCACUGUCGAAGGGGACGAUAAUGACGGUACCCUUGGAGGAAGCCCCGGCUAACUACGCGCCAGCAGCCGC
RNAcentral lists this ribosomal RNA (463 nucleotides) under uncultured bacterium. Its description in RNAcentral is "SSU rRNA". It matches the Rfam family "Bacterial small subunit ribosomal RNA", at positions 26 to 518 of the family's 1533-position model. The record is from RNAcentral.